RNAcentral lists this transfer RNA (84 nucleotides) under Echinostoma caproni. It matches the Rfam family "tRNA". Rfam says of the family: Transfer RNA (tRNA) molecules are approximately 80 nucleotides in length. Their secondary structure includes four short double-helical elements and three loops (D, anti-codon, and T loops). The record is from Rfam by way of RNAcentral. Lineage: Eukaryota; Metazoa; Platyhelminthes; Trematoda; Plagiorchiida; Echinostomatidae.
GGCCUCGUCGCUCAGCUGGUAGAGUGUGCGUUGUACAAAAGCUUAGGUGACUUCCAUGCGUGGGUUCGAAUCCCACCGAGGCUA